CCUACGGGAGGCAGCAGUGGGGGAUAUUGCACAAUGGGGGAAACCCUGAUGCAGCGACGCCGCGUGUGGGAAGACGGUCUUCUGGAUUGUAAACCACUGUCCCCAGGGACGAAAAUGACGGUACCUGGGGAGGAAGCUCCGGCUAACUACGUGCCAGCAGCCGCGGUAAUACGUAGGGAGCAAGCGUUGUCCGGAAUUACUGGGUGAAAAGGGAGCGUAGGCGGGGAUGCAAGUUGGGUGUCAAAACUACCGGCUCAACCGAUAGUCGCACUCAAAACUGCAGCUCUUGAGUGAAGUAGAGGCAGGCGGAAUUCCUAGUGUAGCGGUGAAAUGCGUAGAUAUUAGGAGGAACACCAGUGGCGAAGGCGGCCUGCUGGGCUUUUACUGACGCUGAGGCUCGAAAGUGUGGGGAGCAAACAGGAUUAGAUACCCCAGUAGUC
RNAcentral lists this ribosomal RNA (440 nucleotides) under uncultured bacterium. RNAcentral's name for it is "partial 16S ribosomal RNA". It matches the Rfam family "Bacterial small subunit ribosomal RNA", at positions 338 to 795 of the family's 1533-position model. The record is from RNAcentral.